CCUACGGGGGGCUGCAGUCGAGAAUCUUCGGCAAUGGGCGCAAGCUUGACCGAGCGACGCCGCGUGCGGGAUGAAGGCCUUCGGGUUGUAAACCGCUGUCGUAGGGGAGCAAGAGAUGAGGGUACUCCCUCAAAUUUGAGCGAUCCUAGGAGGAAGGACGGGCUAAGUUCGUGCCAGCAGCCGCGGUAAGACGAACCGUCCAAACGUUAUUCGGUAUCACUGGGCUUAAAGAGUUCGUAGGCGGCUCCGUAGGUGAGGUGUGAAAUCCCUCGGCUCAACCGAGGAAUUGCGCUUCAAACCGUGGAGCUAGAGGGAGACAGGGGUAAGCGGAACAGAUGGUGGAGCGGUGAAAUGCGUUGAUAUCAUCUGGAACACCGGUGGCGAAGGCGGCUUACUGGGUCUUUUCUGACGCUGAGGAACGAAAGCUAGGGUAGCGAACGGGCUUAGAUACCCUAGUAGUC
This 461-nucleotide ribosomal RNA is filed under the name uncultured Pirellula sp. RNAcentral's name for it is "bacterial SSU rRNA". It matches the Rfam family "Bacterial small subunit ribosomal RNA", at positions 338 to 795 of the family's 1533-position model. The record is from RNAcentral. Lineage: Bacteria; Pseudomonadati; Planctomycetota; Planctomycetia; Pirellulales; Pirellulaceae.